GACGUAGGGCGCGAGCGUUGUCCGGAUUUAUUGGGCGUAAAGAGCUCGUAGGCGGCUUGUUGCGUCGACCGUGAAAACCCGGGGCUCAACUUCGGGCUUGCGGUCGAUACGGGCGGGCUAGAGUUCGGUAGGGGAGACUGGAAUUCCUGGUGUAGCGGUGAAAUGCGCAGAUAUCAGGAGGAACACCGGUGGCGAAGGCGGGUCUCUGGGCAUGUCCUGACGCUGAGGAGCGAAAGUGUGGGGAGCGAACAGG
Molecule: ribosomal RNA, 253 nt
Filed under: uncultured bacterium
Lineage: Bacteria
Description: partial 16S ribosomal RNA
Rfam family: Bacterial small subunit ribosomal RNA
Source: RNAcentral